AGACAGAUGCUGGGAUGUGAUGGGGAGCGAAAUUUAGUAGCGAAGUAGCUGAUUUCACACUGUCAAGAAAAGUCUCUAUCGAGGUUAAAGGUACCCGUACCGCAAACCGACACAGGUGGGUGAGGAGAGUAUCCUAAGGCCAGCGAGAGAACUGUUGUUAAGGAACUCGGCAAAAUGACCCCGUAACUUAGGGAUAAGGGGUGCCACCAUCAGGUGGCCGCAGAGAAUAGGCCCAAGCGACUGUUUACCAAAAACAUAGGUUUCUGCUAAGUCGCAAGACGAUGUAUAGGAGCUGACGCCUGCCCGGUGCUGG
This 313-nucleotide ribosomal RNA is filed under the name Clostridioides difficile. Its description in RNAcentral is "bacterial LSU rRNA". It matches the Rfam family "Bacterial large subunit ribosomal RNA", at positions 1547 to 1872 of the family's 2925-position model. The record is from RNAcentral. Lineage: Bacteria; Bacillati; Bacillota; Clostridia; Peptostreptococcales; Peptostreptococcaceae.